AGAGUUUGAUCAUGGCUCAGAUUGAACGCUGGCGGCAGGCCUAACACAUGCAAGUCGAACGGUAGCACAGAGAGCUUGCUCUCGGGUGACGAGUGGCGGACGGGUGAGUAAUGUCUGGGAAACUGCCUGAUGGAGGGGGAUAACUACUGGAAACGGUAGCUAAUACCGCAUAACGUCGCAAGACCAAAGAGGGGGACCUUCGGGCCUCCUGCCAUCAGAUGUGCCCAGAUGGGAUUAGCUAGUAGGUGGGGUAACGGCUCACCUAGGCGACGAUCCCUAGCUGGUCUGAGAGGAUGACCAGCCACACUGGAACUGAGACACGGUCCAGACUCCUACGGGAGGCAGCAGUGGGGAAUAUUGCACAAUGGGCGCAAGCCUGAUGCAGCCAUGCCGCGUGUAUGAAGAAGGCCUUCGGGUUGUAAAGUACUUUCAGCGGGGAGGAAGGUGUUGUGGUUAAUAACCACAGCAAUUGACGUUACCCGCAGAAGAAGCACCGGCUAACUCCGUGCCAGCAGCCGCGGUAAUACGGAGGGUGCAAGCGUUAAUCGGAAUUACUGGGCGUAAAGCGCACGCAGGCGGUCUGUCAAGUCGGAUGUGAAAUCCCCGGGCUCAACCUGAGAACUGCAUUCGAAACUGGCAGGCUGGAGUCUUGUAGAGGGGGGUAGAAUUCCAGGUGUAGCGGUGAAAUGCGUAGAGAUCUGGACGAAUACCCGGUGGCGAAGGCGGCCCCCUGGACAAAGACUGACGCUCAUGUGCGAAAGCGUAGUGGAACUAAACAGGAUUACACACUCUGGUAGUCAC
This 801-nucleotide ribosomal RNA is filed under the name Enterobacter sp. U4A. Its description in RNAcentral is "bacterial SSU rRNA". It matches the Rfam family "Bacterial small subunit ribosomal RNA", at positions 8 to 798 of the family's 1533-position model. The record is from RNAcentral. Lineage: Bacteria; Pseudomonadati; Pseudomonadota; Gammaproteobacteria; Enterobacterales; Enterobacteriaceae.